AAGCAUCUUUCCCAAGAAAAUCUGGAGCAGGUGUAUCCAAAAUGUAGGAGACUUUCUCCUGAGUGAGAAUAAUUCUCAUAUUUCUAAGCAGUCAACAUAGUUAGGUCCAAUCAACUUGUUUGCAUCUAGGAUACCUCUAAGUGAAAUUAAAGAUGCCAUAUGUGUAGUUAAUCUACAACAACAAGAACAUAACAUAAGCGGAC
Molecule: long non-coding RNA, 203 nt
Filed under: Elaeis guineensis (African oil palm)
Lineage: Eukaryota; Viridiplantae; Streptophyta; Magnoliopsida; Arecales; Arecaceae
Description: long non-coding RNA (EGUI_LNC044984)
Source: RNAcentral